AGUGAACGCUGGCGGUAGGCCUAACACAUGCAAGUCGAACGGCAGCACAGUAAGAGCUUGCUCUUACGGGUGGCGAGUGGCGGACGGGUGAGGAAUACAUCGGAAUCUACUUUUUCGUGGGGGAUAACGUAGGGAAACUUACGCUAAUACCGCAUACGACCUACGGGUGAAAGCAGGGGAUCUUCGGACCUUGCGCGAUUGAAUGAGCCGCUGUCGGAUUAGCUAGUUGGCGGGGUAAAGGCCAACCAAGGCGACGAUCCGUAGCUGGUCUGAGAGGAUGAUCAGCCACACUGGAACUUAGACACGGUCCAGACUCCUACGGGAGGCAGCAGUGGGGAAUAUUGGACAAUGGUCGCAAGCCUGAUCCAGCCAUACCGCGUGUGUGAAGAAGGCCUUCGGGUUGUAAAGCCCUUUUGUUGGGAAAGAAAAGCAGCAGGUUAAUACCCCGCUGUUCUGACGGUACCCAAAGAAUAAGCACCGGCUAACUUCGUG
RNAcentral lists this ribosomal RNA (492 nucleotides) under uncultured bacterium. RNAcentral describes it as "partial 16S ribosomal RNA". It matches the Rfam family "Bacterial small subunit ribosomal RNA", at positions 29 to 507 of the family's 1533-position model. The record is from RNAcentral.